AGAAGCUUAUCUCCUAGGCUCACUAUCCUAGAGAUCCAAAUAAGUUCUUAUGGAGAAUUUUCAAAGACUAAGAGGUGGAAACAAUGUUUUCAGAUUUCGAAAUGAUUCUAGUUUGUUUUUCUAGAUGACAUGUAUAGCAAACUUUGACCUUGUAGAAAUUAAUUUAAGAAAGCCAAUGACUAGGUCUUUUGAGAUUAAGUACAUACUAGUAUGAGUUGAUUUUAUAUGCCAAAAGUGGUUUCUUUAAUCUUGGUAUUCAUAGUGCAUAUAUUUAAAGGCAUACCAAGUAUACAUUCUCAUGUCUAUGAUCAAUAAAAGAUAAUACCAUUGAUA
RNAcentral lists this long non-coding RNA (333 nucleotides) under Phoenix dactylifera (date palm). RNAcentral's name for it is "long non-coding RNA (PDAC_LNC012597)". The record is from RNAcentral. Lineage: Eukaryota; Viridiplantae; Streptophyta; Magnoliopsida; Arecales; Arecaceae.